GGAGAGGUGCGUGAGCGGUUUAAACGGCGCGCCUGGAAAGCGCGUAGGCUCGCAAGGGUCUCGAGGGUUCAAAUCCCUCCCUCUCCGCCA
This 90-nucleotide transfer RNA is filed under the name Elusimicrobiota bacterium. RNAcentral describes it as "Elusimicrobia bacterium (groundwater metagenome) tRNA-Ser". It matches the Rfam family "tRNA". From Rfam's summary of the family: Transfer RNA (tRNA) molecules are approximately 80 nucleotides in length. Their secondary structure includes four short double-helical elements and three loops (D, anti-codon, and T loops). Further hydrogen bonds mediate the characteristic L-shaped molecular structure. tRNAs have two regions of fundamental functional importance: the anti-codon, which is responsible for specific mRNA codon recognition, and the 3' end, to which the tRNAs corresponding amino acid is attached (by aminoacyl-tRNA synthetases). tRNAs cope with the degeneracy of the genetic code in two manners: having more than one tRNA (with a specific anti-codon) for a particular amino acid; and 'wobble' base-pairing, i.e. permitting non-standard base-pairing at the 3rd anti-codon position. The record is from RNAcentral. Lineage: Bacteria; Pseudomonadati; Elusimicrobiota.